UAUGUGAUCGUCUCUCGCAUAUCAAUAAGCGGAGGAAAAGAAACUAACAAGGAUUCCCCUAGUAACGGCGAGUGAAGCGGGAAGAGCUCAAAUUUGAAAUCUUAAAGGGUUUCCCUUUACGAAUUGUAGUUUAAAGAAGUGUUUUCUGUUGAGGUUUUGGUAAAAGUUCUUUGGAAUAGGACAUCAUAGAGGGUGAGAAUCCCGUAUUUGACCUUUACUUUCAACUUUGUGAUACACUUUCAAAGAGUCGGAUUGUUUGGGAAUGCAGUCCAAAAUGGGUGGUAAAUUUCAUCUAAAGCUAAAUAUUGGCGAGAGACCGAUAGCGAACAAGUACCGUGAGGGAAAGAUGAAAAGAACUUUGAAAAGAGAGUUAAACAGUACGUGAAAUUGUCAAAAGGGAAGCGUUUGACACCAGUGUUGUUUUUCUGAAAAUCAAUUAAAGAACUGUUUAUGCUAAGCUGUUUAGACUUUAUCAGCUAUCUGUUUAGUUUUGAGCUUUUCUUUAAUGCACUUUUCAGUUAACAAGUCAACAUCAAUUUCUUUUGCUGUAAAAAAGCUUGAGGAAGGUGGCUUGAGAUUCGUCUUAAGUGUUUAUAGCCUCUUGCCUAUGCAGUCGGAGAGAUUGAGGUCUGCAGCGUAGAUCCUUCGGGGCUAAAUGCAUUUGUGCUAAGUUAUAGCAUUUUAUAGACAACUUGUUGACUAUGAUUUGUCUUGUAGCUUACUCGCUUAUGUUAUUUUACCUACGCUUAGGAUGUUGAAGAUAUGCGCGACACG
RNAcentral lists this ribosomal RNA (774 nucleotides) under uncultured Neocallimastigales. RNAcentral's name for it is "partial large subunit ribosomal RNA". It matches the Rfam family "Eukaryotic large subunit ribosomal RNA", at positions 24 to 644 of the family's 3401-position model. Lineage: Eukaryota; Fungi; Neocallimastigomycota; Neocallimastigomycetes; Neocallimastigales. The record is from RNAcentral.